CUGUACCCACGGCAUAUGGAUGUUCCCUGGCCAGGGACUGAACCUGAGCCACAGCUGCGGCAAUGCCAGAUCCUUACCCCACUGAGCCAGGCCAGGGAUCGAACCGGCACCUCCAGAGACAAGCUGGAACAUUAACCCAUGACGCCACAGCGGGAACGCCCACAUAUUUCAAUGCUCCAAGUGCCAAACACAAGCCUACCUGCGGAGACAAUGUGAGUGACGACUCCUGCGAAUCGGGUCUACAGGUUAUCCCGUCACACUCAGUCUCACUGGCACGACCCAAAGACGUUAAGGUAAUGAUUUCUAUGAAUACAGAUGCUCAAACAUCUUACAAGUGUUUUGUCUCUCUUCAUAACAAAUCAACAAGGCAAAAAAAGGUAUCCCCACUACAAAAAAAAAAAAAAAUCAGUGGAAAAAGUGACAUGCCCAGAGAUGAUCAAAUUUAACUAAGAGCCAGAUAUAGGGCGUUACUUACUUAUUAAUCCAUAACAGUCCAACCCAAACGCCAAAUGCGCCUUGUAUCUCUAACUGCAUCUUUGAUAGGGUUUUUGACUCCCUAAGACUUGAGAAGAUUAAACCCCUACCCAAAACUCACCAGGAAUCCUGCCUCUCUCCGGAUUACAACCUGGACCGAGAAGCGAGCAACAUGUUUCUUUCUUGCCCCUGGGACACCCCAGCCACGAAGCUCAGGCUCUCAGAUGAACGGCCCGUUACUCUUAGCCUCACGUGCAGAGCCCGCUCCUUCUUAACACGCUUGACGAUCUGGUUCUGCCGCUCAUGGUGUAUGAGAAGCAACGAAGCACAAAGAAAGCACGUCGGUAGCGACAGGGAGAAAGAGAAGCAAAAACAAAACCAGAAGAGCAAACACGGGGGUUGGGAAAGAGCUAAACGUGGCCCGUGUACUGGUGCCGCACACGUCCCAGCGGACACGCUUCACGCCAAGCCCGGCGUUCGCCCUGAGGAUCCAGCCCGACUCGGUUCGCGUUUCACGUGUUCUCAAGGAAGAACCAGAAACAGGUACAUGCCUUUGUGGAUUUCCACCCAAAAUGGGGAAGCAAAGCCUUGGUGCUCAUUAAGGGAGAAAAUGAACAUGUGUACAAAGACCCAAGUGUUUCACAACAAGCCUUAAAUGUAUCAUCAGGUUUCUCCUGCCAAAGCAGAACGUGGGUUUUCUACAGUCCGAGACGUACAAUGGAAAACUUAAGGAAGAGAGAGAGAAAGAUCAACUCCACUUAAUUCCUCAUUUUCCUGGGAGUCGUUCAGCCUUACGGGUGAUGAAUGGCUCGCUGUAAACCGGUUUAGUUGCUCUCCUGGCUGCCAAAGCACAGCUAAGAAGCCAGCAGGUACAACAGGGAAGCUGUCAAGUCAAGCUGGCUCAAAACAAAGUUGUGGUUUGCAGGCGGGGCCUGAACCAUCUCUUCCGUUCAUAUAAGCUGGCAGGAUGUAGAAACAGGAUCCCGACCUAGCCACCGCUUCAGAGAACCAAAAUAUUUUGCUUUGACUUUCUAGCCUAUUAAGCUUGGGGUUUGGCAGGAUCUGUGUCCACAGUGAACGCAAGACCUUGUAAUGGUCCUCUUGAGGAAAUGAGAACACAAACAAAGCUGCCCUGAGUCUGGAAAGAAAGCAGUGUCUGGAGGGGUGUGAGGGACAGGCAGAGACGUGGGGCUGGCAAUCAGGACAGCCAGAGAGAUGGGGACAGCUAAUAUUUCUAAGUGUUUUCCACAUGCCACAUGAGCGCGUACGUAAUCUGCAGUAAUCUUGCUUAAUCCU
Molecule: long non-coding RNA, 1770 nt
Filed under: Sus scrofa (pig)
Lineage: Eukaryota; Metazoa; Chordata; Mammalia; Artiodactyla; Suidae
Description: lncRNA (ENSSSCG00015065830.1)
Source: RNAcentral